Molecule: ribosomal RNA, 119 nt
Filed under: Pteropus alecto (black flying fox)
Lineage: Eukaryota; Metazoa; Chordata; Mammalia; Chiroptera; Pteropodidae
Source: RNAcentral
GUCUACGGCCAUGUCACCCUGAACGUGCCCGAUCUCAUCUGAUCUCGGAAGCUAAGCAGGGUCGGGUCUGGUUAGUACUUGGAUGGGAGACCACCUAGGAAGACCAGGUGCUGUAGGCG